This 243-nucleotide ribosomal RNA is filed under the name uncultured bacterium. Its description in RNAcentral is "partial 16S ribosomal RNA". It matches the Rfam family "Bacterial small subunit ribosomal RNA", at positions 15 to 236 of the family's 1533-position model. The record is from RNAcentral.
GAUCAUGGCUCAGGAUGAACGCUGGCGGCGUGCCUAACACAUGCAAGUCGAACGAAGAGGCGGCAUCAGAAUCCUUCGGGAGGAAGAAGCCGUUUACUGAGUGGCGGACGGGUGAGUAACGCGUGGGCAACCUGCCCAGUACAGGGGGGACAACAGUUGGAAACGACUGCUAAUACCGCAUAAGCCUGUAAUGCCGCAUGGCAUAUCAGGAAAAAACUCCGGUGGUACUGGAUGGGCCCGCGU